Eptesicus fuscus (big brown bat) is the source of this 338-nucleotide long non-coding RNA. RefSeq lists it as uncharacterized. The transcript has 2 exons. NCBI's taxonomy places the organism in Eukaryota, Metazoa, Chordata, Mammalia, Chiroptera, Vespertilionidae. The record is from RefSeq and is a predicted model, not a curated record.
AAAGCUUUGCUGUCCAGCCUCCCCCAGGGGAAUCCUCUUCAAGUGUGGAAGUGCCCUCUUGCUAGCAGAAAACCUGCUUGUUGGAUUAAAAAGACAUACUGUGUAUAGACUUUACAUCACAGAAGUAAAACAUGAAUAAGAACAUUUUGAACCAGAUAUUAGUAGAUAGGCAACCCACAACUAGAACGUGGGAAAUGUUAGCAAUUCAGAAAGAAGCUGCUGCAAGUGUAUUUUCUGAAAGUUUAAAGAAGUUUCUCAAGUGGACAGCUCCAAGAUUCGCCGUCUUUAUGCUGAAGUUAUAAAGUUUUCUUCCUGAUAAGAAAUGUGUUAUUCUCUCA